CAAACCUACUGUUUAUCGUCUGAUCUGCAAAAUAAGGCCAACAAAGCAUAGGCAUUCCCCCUGCUACACUCUCCAGAGUUGAAUUCCAACCACAAUGGGUGAAAAAUGCACAAACCGCUGGAUGGGCCAAGACGUCAUCUUGAGGUGCCCAUCCCACCAUGUAGCCUCUUGCCUUUGUACCUUCCUCUAGCUCCACCGGAAUCUUACUCUCCUCAUUAUUUCCAAUAAUAGAAUCCGGCCUCAUUACCCACAAGAACCUCUGCCCACUAUUCACUAGCCCAUACCAAAACUCCAAGAGCUCGCUUCGAGUUAAUAUGGUAACGCUUCCAAAGCUCACAUAAAUCACAGAUUUUGCAGGCUGCGAGUCGAGCCAGGUCAGGCAGCUUUUGUCUUCCUCCCAGAAACUGCCUGAAGCACGAGUUAUGUCACUUGUUUUCUCUGCCAAUCGGGCCCUCAAAUGAGUGUGGAGUGGACCGACAGAAUACAGAUUUGGAAUAUGUUUCCGAUUCGCUGAUGGCCUUUUUCGCCAAAUUUGCCAUAUCAUUAGCCCUCUGCAAGAACUCAUCCCUUCUCUCCACCAUCAUAUCCCUAACCAUCUUCUCAAUAAUCACUCGAUCACAAGUAUCUUUUAUAUCCAAUCCGAGCUUCCAAACUUCGCUGACAAACCUACUGUUUAUCGUCUGAUCUGCAAAAUAAGGCCAACAAAGCAUAGGCAUUCCCCCUGCUACACUCUCCAGAGUUGAAUUCCAACCACAAUGGGUGAAAAAUGCACAAACCGCUGGAUGGGCCAAGACGUCAUCUUGAGGUGCCCAUCCCACCAUGUAGCCUCUUGCCUUUGUACCUUCCUCUAGCUCCACCGGAAUCUUACUCUCCUCAUUAUUUCCAAUAAUAGAAUCCGGCCUCAUUACCCACAAGAACCUCUGCCCACUAUUCACUAGCCCAUACCAAAACUCCAAGAGCUCGCUUCGAGUUAAUAUGGUAACGCUUCCAAAGCUCACAUAAAUCACAGAUUUUGCAGGCUGCGAGUCGAGCCAGGUCAGGCAGCUGUUGUCUUCCUCCCAGAAACUGCCUGAAGCACGAGUGAUGUCACUUGUUUUCUCUGCCAAUCGGGCCCUCAAAUGAGUGUGGAGUGGACCGACAGAAUACAGAUUUGGAAUAUGUUUCCGAAUUUCAUCAAGAAUGGGUCCUUCCAAAUCUUCAAAUGUGUUGAGUAUGAG
Molecule: long non-coding RNA, 1217 nt
Filed under: Olea europaea (common olive)
Lineage: Eukaryota; Viridiplantae; Streptophyta; Magnoliopsida; Lamiales; Oleaceae
Description: long non-coding RNA (OEUR_LNC010081)
Source: RNAcentral